Molecule: ribosomal RNA, 606 nt
Filed under: uncultured archaeon
Lineage: Archaea
Description: bacterial SSU rRNA
Rfam family: Archaeal small subunit ribosomal RNA
Source: RNAcentral
UCCAGGCCCUACGGGGUGCAGCAGGCGCGAAACCUCCGCAAUGUGAGAAAUUGCGACGGGGGGAUCCCAAGUGCCAUUCUUAACGGGAUGGCUUUUCAUUAGUGUAAAGAGCUUUUGGAAUAAGAGCUGGGCAAGACCGGUGCCAGCCGCCGCGGUAACACCGGCAGCUCUAGUGGUAGCAGUUUUUAUUGGGCCUAAAGCGUCCGUAGCCGGUUUAAUAAGUCUCUGGUGAAAUCCUGCAGCUUAGCUGUGGGAAUUGCUGGAGAUACUAUUAGACUUGAGAUCGGGAGAGGUUAGAGGUACUCCCAGGGUAGAGGUGAAAUUCUGUAAUCCUGGGAGGACCGCCUGUUGCGAAGGCGUCUGACUGGAACGAUUCUGACGGUGAGGGACGAAAGCUAGGGGCGCGAACCGGAUUAGAUACCCGGGUAGUCCUAGCUGUAAACGAUGCGGACUUGGUGUUGGGGUGGCUUUGAGCUGUCCCAGUGCCGAAGGGAAGCUGUUAAGUCCGCCGCCUGGGAAGUACGGUCGCAGGACUGAAACUUAAAGGAAUUGGCGGGGGAGCACCACAACGCGUGGAGCCUGCGGUUUAAUUGGAGUCAACGCCGG